ACUAAGUUUCAACAACGGAUCUCUUGGCUCUCGCAUCGAUGAAGAACGCAGCGAAAUGCGAUAAGUAAUGUGAAUUGCAGAAUUCAGUGAAUCAUCGAAUCUUUGAACGCACCUUGCGCUCCUUGGUAUUCCUUGGAGCAUGCCUGUUUGAGUAUCAUGAAA
Molecule: ribosomal RNA, 162 nt
Filed under: Ceratobasidium sp. P312-1
Lineage: Eukaryota; Fungi; Basidiomycota; Agaricomycetes; Cantharellales; Ceratobasidiaceae
Description: 5.8S ribosomal RNA
Rfam family: 5.8S ribosomal RNA
About the family: 5.8S ribosomal RNA (5.8S rRNA) is a component of the large subunit of the eukaryotic ribosome. It is transcribed by RNA polymerase I as part of the 45S precursor that also contains 18S and 28S rRNA. Functionally, it is thought that 5.8S rRNA may be involved in ribosome translocation.
Source: RNAcentral